This 294-nucleotide unclassified non-coding RNA is filed under the name Hevea brasiliensis (rubber tree). Lineage: Eukaryota; Viridiplantae; Streptophyta; Magnoliopsida; Malpighiales; Euphorbiaceae. The record is from RNAcentral.
UUGUAUCAGAAGAUGAAGAAAGCUCGAAGAGACAACGAUGACAUUGACACCAAUUGAAUUACGCAUACAUAUGAUGCAAUUGGGAAAUUUAAUUAGUUUUAGUUUUCUUGUUUUUGUCUAUGAAAUUAUGGGAUGAGAACUUGAGAUCUUGAUAAGAUGUGAUUGGAGUAGGUAGCUAGCUAGGACCCAAAUGAUCUUGUAAAGUUGAAGUUGCAAAAUAUUAAAGAUUAAGGAAAAAAGAAGGAUGGGGAAUUCCAACUUUACUACUGCAUCUAAGGCUCUUUUGUACUCAAG